Molecule: ribosomal RNA, 303 nt
Filed under: Triticum aestivum (bread wheat)
Lineage: Eukaryota; Viridiplantae; Streptophyta; Magnoliopsida; Poales; Poaceae
Description: partial small subunit ribosomal RNA
Source: RNAcentral
AUGUCUUUCCAAAAGAAACAUUUCAAGAACCGCUGUACUUCACCCCAGAACAUUGAAGUAGACAGCGACAGUGAACCCGACUUCACCCCUGAGCCAGAACAAGAAGAGCCUGAACUACAAGAGGUUACUGCUGCGGAUGACCUGUCAAUGCUUGCGCGAUUACACAGAGGUGGCCUUCCACAUGAUGAUGCAUUUAUUAAUGAUGAUGAUGAUGAUGAGCACGUCAUUACUGAUAGUGAUAAUGUUGAUGCAUUUAUUGAUCCCGAAGCAUUUAUUCAACCCGACAAUCCAGAUUAUUAUUAG